RNAcentral lists this ribosomal RNA (482 nucleotides) under uncultured bacterium. RNAcentral describes it as "partial 16S ribosomal RNA". It matches the Rfam family "Bacterial small subunit ribosomal RNA", at positions 28 to 523 of the family's 1533-position model. The record is from RNAcentral.
AGUGAACGUUGGCGGCGUGGAUUAGGCAUGCAAGUCGAGCGAGAACCGUAGCAAUACGGGGACAGCGGCGAAAGGGACAGUAAUGUGUAGGUACCUACCCCGAGGUCUGGGAUAGCUGCGGGAAACUGCAGGUAAUACCGGAUAAUGUCUUCGGACCAAAGGUGUGAUUCCACCUUGGGAGGGGCCUGCAUCCUAUUAGCUUGUUGGCGGGGUAACGGCCCACCAAGGCGACGAUGGGUAGCGGGUGUGAGAGCACGACCCGCGUCAUUGGGACUGAGACACUGCCCAGACACCUACGCGUGGCUGCAGUCGAGGAUCUUCGGCAAUGGGCGCAAACCUGACCGAGCGACGCCGCGUGCGGGAUGAAGGCCUUCGGGUUGUAAACCGCUGUCGUAGAGGAGGAAAUGCAGGGGGGUUCUCCCUUCUGUUUGACCUAUUCUAGGAGGAAGGACGGGCUAAGUUCGUGCCAGCCGCCGCAGUAA